This is a long non-coding RNA of Vidua chalybeata, 289 nucleotides long. RefSeq lists it as uncharacterized. NCBI's taxonomy places the organism in Eukaryota, Metazoa, Chordata, Aves, Passeriformes, Viduidae. The record is from RefSeq and is a predicted model, not a curated record. The transcript has 2 exons.
AGCGGCGCUGAGGCCGGCCCCGCCCCGGCGGCCCCCGUGCCAGGAGAAGGGCAGAGCCCGGCGCCGCCGCCCUGGGCUGGGGCCCCGCCCGACCGAGCCUCGCUGUGGGCAGGGCAGGCGAACGCCCGAGGAGGUCCCUGCGGGUUGAACGUCUGCUGAGGAGCAAAAAUUGGUGAAGAUUUGAGCACAGUGAAAUGGUGCUGCCCCCAGUUUAGAUCUGAGCUAUGGGCGAGGAGAUGGGAGCACAGCAGGGAUUAAAAAAACGAGUCUUUAAUUAAAAAAAAAAAAA